AACGAACGCUGGCGGCAUGCCUAACACAUGCAAGUCGAACGAGACCUUCGGGUCUAGUGGCGCACGGGUGCGUAACGCGUGGGAACCUGCCCUUAGGUUCGGAAUAACGCGCCGAAAGGGGUGCUAAUACCGGAUAAUGUCUUCGGACCAAAGAGUUGUCGCCUUUGGAUGGGCCCGCGUUGGAUUAGCUAGUUGGUAGGGUAAAGGCCUACCAAGGCGACGAUCCAUAGCUGGUCUGAGAGGAUGAUCGGUCACACUGGCACUGAGACACGGCCCAAACUCCUACGGGAGGCAGCAGUGGGGAAUAUUGCACAAUGGGGGAAAGCCUGAUGCAGCAAUGCCGCGUGAGUGAUGAAGGCAUUAGGGUUGUAAAGCUCUUUUCCCCGGGAUGAUAAGGACAGUACCGGGAGAAUAAGCCCCGGCUAACUCCGUG
Molecule: ribosomal RNA, 433 nt
Filed under: uncultured bacterium
Lineage: Bacteria
Description: partial 16S ribosomal RNA
Rfam family: Bacterial small subunit ribosomal RNA
Source: RNAcentral